RNAcentral lists this ribosomal RNA (253 nucleotides) under uncultured bacterium. Its description in RNAcentral is "partial 16S ribosomal RNA". It matches the Rfam family "Bacterial small subunit ribosomal RNA", at positions 524 to 776 of the family's 1533-position model. The record is from RNAcentral.
UACAGAGGGUGCAAGCGUUGUUCGGAAUUACUGGGCGUAAAGGGCUCGUAGGUGGCCAACUAAGUCAGACGUGAAAUCCCUCAGCUUAACUGGGGAACUGCGUCUGAUACUGGAUGGCUUGAGUUUGGGAGAGGGAUGCGGAAUUCCAGGUGUAGCGGUGAAAUGCGUAGAUAUCUGGAGGAACACCGGUGGCGAAGGCGGCGAUCUGGGUAGAUACUGACGCUGAGGUGCGAAAGCGUGGGGAGCAAACAGG